CCCAUUACAGUCACAUCUUUUGCUCUUCUUAGGAGGACACCAAAGAGUUCCUCAGAGAUACAUUUGAGGAAAUUUUUUUUUUCAGUCUUUGCUUUCUCUCGCCACUUCUGACACCGUUGACCACUUCCCCCUUGAAGCCCUGUUGCUUGGUUUCCAUGACCUCUAGCGUCUCUUCACCUCUUUCGCUUCCCUCUCAGGCUCUCUCAAAGGCGAUUAGAAAUACCAGAAAGUAACUUCUACUACUUCUAAAGCCAGACUUCCAGAUCAAAGAGUGAAGUUGUGGAUCUACAUUCGGCUUGGUCCCUCCCAUUGGCCAUUCUAUCACAUCAGAUCAUAAUAAUGUGUAGGGCUUCUAUUUGAAAUUUUGAAGCCCAGUGUGUGAAAUGGAAGAGGAUUCUUUCAGCGGGAAGUGUAGCUCCUACAUAAAGAAACAGCUGAAAUAAUCAAUACAAAAAAAAAAAAUCACAAGCCAAAACUGUUUCCUUUAGAAGAGAAUUUGUGACAUUAGUUUUAAAAAAGGGAACAAAUGUCAAGGGCAGCUGGGUUAAUGAGUACACGAAGUACAGCUGCUCUUGCCCAUGGAGACUGGAGCGCUGACGUGGACGAGCAGGAGCGGAAAAUGACGGUGGUGACUGCCGCAGCCCUAACCAGGCACUUACUCCACGUCCAUUCAUAAUGGGGGAUGAUUGGCACUGCCGGCAGAAGGAGAGACGCUGGACUGUAAUUAGAACGUUGGCGCUCAUCAAAAUCCAGUAAAACAAGGAGAGCCAUGAUUUCUUAAACCUGAAGCUACAGUCCGCAAAAUGGCUUUGCUUUUCCAAUUCUUUAUUGUUUCAGUAUUCAUUGAAAAAAAGGAAAAAACCCACAGACCAUGCAAAAUUAAGAUGCUCUAUCACAGAAGAAUAAAUGAGAUGAGCCUGCUUUCUGUAUAAUGGCCAAUAUUUAGAGAUGUGCUCUAUAAACUUCAAUGAAAAUCACUGCAGAAUAUUUCACUUCAGAAAGACAUUUCUUUUGGCUAAAGGGCUAUUUCUCCAUCCUCCUCUUGUUCCUAGAUACCAUUAUUUCUGCACUGAGACAGAGCUGACCCACUAUGUCAUGGUGUCGACUGAGAAAUGACUUCUAGGUUAGAACUGGGCUUUCUAUUCAGGGAGAAUGACUGAUGUGUAGUUACCCAAGUUCUCUUUGAAGGUAAAUAUGCUCAUUUACCUGAUGGAGUUUGAAUCUGUUAGAAGGUCUUCCCUGGUGGUCCAGUGGUUAAGAAUCCACCUGCAAUGCAGGAGACAUGGCUCUGAUCCCUGGGAUCUAGGAAGAUACCACAUGGCUCAGCGCAACUAAGCCGGUGUACUGCAGUUACUGAAGCUGGUGCAUCCUAGAGCCCAUGUUCCCAACAAGAGAAGCCACGACAACGAGAAGCCUGUGAGAGAGUAGUCCCCUUUCGCUGCAACUACACCAAGUCUAUACACAGCAGCAAAGACACAAUGCAGUCAAAAAUGAAUAUUAAAAAAAAAUUCACUUAUAA
Odocoileus virginianus texanus is the source of this 1519-nucleotide non-coding RNA. Lineage: Eukaryota; Metazoa; Chordata; Mammalia; Artiodactyla; Cervidae. The record is from RefSeq and is a predicted model, not a curated record.